CCCUUAGAUGUCCGGGGCCGCACGCGCGCUACACUGAAGGAAUCAGCGUGGCUUUCUCCCUGACCCGAAAGGGUUGGGAAACCCGUUGAAUCUCCUUCGUGAUAGGGAUUGGGGCUUGAAAUUGUUCCCCAUGAACGAGGAAUUCCCAGUAAGCGCGGGUCAUAAGCUCGCGUUGAUUACGUCCCUACCCUUUGUACACACCGCCCGUCGCUACUACCGAUUGAACGGUUUAGUGAGGGCCUCGGAUUGGUCUCGGCCCGCUCUUUACCGGGCGGCGCCGUUGGUCGAGAAGACGCUCGAACUUGAUCGUUUAGAGGAAGUAAAAGUCGUAACA
Molecule: ribosomal RNA, 334 nt
Filed under: uncultured eukaryote
Lineage: Eukaryota
Description: partial 18S ribosomal RNA
Rfam family: Eukaryotic small subunit ribosomal RNA
Source: RNAcentral